UUUUGCAUGCUUCAGAACUUCACCUAACUCUGUGUAUGUGUGUGUAUGCCUGCAGGGGUGUGUGUGAGCGGAGGUGGAUGCUGCUGUGGGACUCUGGGGAUGUGUAAAGUCUCCAUCCGUCCUGGAUCUCUGCAGCUUUUUAGGAGCUGCUCUCUGGGCUUUUGUGCAAGAGUGUGUGUCCUGGACGUGUGUUCGCCAUGUCUCUAGUUCAGGCACUGCCUGUGCCCACUGAUCACCCGAAGCCCAGCGCUGACAUCCAGCAGUGCUGCUCAGUGUCUCACUCCCCCACCGUAGCUGCGGCAGGCACCAUGGGCUCCGUCAGCAGCCUUAUCUCUGGACGUACCUACCAGGAGCGUCACUGCCGAGCUGCCAGCGACUUUGGCGCCAAGUAUCGCAAACCCACACCAACUACGAGCUGUUUCCGACAGCAAGAGGGCACGCUGCGCAGUGCCAGCUCACAGGAGCAGCUUCUCACCAGACAGCCUCCUCUACCUGCUAAGAACAAGUCCUCUGCCCUCAUCUCUGCUGGCAAUGGCAACUAUGGCUAUUUGAGUGAUGAGCCAGUGGGCGACUGGAAUGAUAAUCAUGUUACCCCGUGCAGCCCGUCCAGUGAUACCGAAGAGCCUCCUGAUAACAGAGGCAUGAAUGGUAACAUUGGUGGCCCUCCUCCCAAACUCAUCCCAGUGUCAGGGAAGCUGGAAAAGAGUAUGGAGAAGACACUGAUCCGUCCCACUGCCUUUAAGCCGGUUGUGCCCAAGAAUCGCAACUCUGUGCAGUACCUGUCUCCACGGUCAGGGGGCAGUCUGACUGAAAGCCAGGGCAGCCUCAACCUCUUACUUCCUGGCACUGGAGCAUUGUUGGGUUGUCAGGAGAAGCGUAACUCUUACAGUGGGGGGCGCAACGCACGGAAUAGCCAAUCCUGCACUAUGUCGGACUCAGGCCGCAACUCACUCUCCAGUCUACCAACCUACAGCAGCACAGGGUACAGCCUGGCACAGAGCGAGGUUCCCACCGGGCACAUGGAAACCACACGCUCCAGUGGUGGCCACGGACACUCUAACUCUGACAGUGGUCGGUCAUCAUCCAGUAAGAGCACAGGGUCUUUAAGUGGCCGUGGGCAGCCCCUCUCAGACAGUGGAUCGUGUGGCCGCUCCCCGGCUCCAGGAGAAGGGUAUGAGGGCGUCAUUCGGGAACUUGAGGAGAAGCUGAGGGAAAGAGACCUCCAUCUGUCAGGUGACAAUCGCAGUUUUCUACCAGUUAUUAGUGCCAUUUGACAGGGAAUUGUUAGAUACGGUGGAUACAACGUAAGUAAAAUCAUAUGUCUUUUCCAUGCAGGUGUAUGAGGAGAAACAGAAGCGGUGUGAGCAAGAGUUGGAGGACCUUCGGCAGAGCUGUGCAUCGAAAAUGAAGCAGGUGCAGCUGAAGGCACAACGGGCACAACAGGUCCUGCAGUUGCAGGUGUUCCAGCUGCAGCAAGAGAAGAAGAAAUUGCAGGAGGACUUCUCCCAACUGCUGCAGGAACGGGAGGCAUUGGAGAAGAGAUGUGCCUCUUUUGAGAAGGAGCAGACUCAACUAGGUCCUCGUCUAGAAGAGACAAAGUGGGAGGUGAGAUCUUGUACCAAUUUAGAUCUAGCAAUGAGUAAUAAUUACAUUCAAUGAACUUGAAUGCUCCUGUGUUGCAGGUCUGUCAGAAGUCUGGUGAGAUCUCUCUGCUGAAGCAGCAGCUGAAGGAUGUACAGGCUGAUCUUGGUCAGAAGGCCAGCGAGAUUGUUGCUUUGAAGGCCCAGUUGAGAGAGGCUCGUUCCGAGCUUCAAGCUAGCCAGGCUCGCUCGCAGGAAGCCCACGCCACAGCCCGCACCCGUACACUCGAACUUGAGGUUUGCGAGAAUGAGCUGCAGCGUCGUAAAAGCGAAGCGGAGCUCCUGCGGGAGAAGGUGGGCCGUUUGGAAGAGUCCAUCCGUCUUAAAGAGACCCUGGCAGUGCCCCCGUUCCAAACUCUACCUUCUAAGGGCCAAUGCAUGAGCUUGCCCCUGCCCCAAAGCCGUGGGGGAAUCACUCACGGGAUCAGUCCUGCUUUCCGGGACAACAGCAGUGAAGAGCAGUUUCUAGCAUAUGAAAGCGAUGAAGCGAAGGUGCAGCGUCAGAGCGUGGAUGUGCUUCAUGGUCUCCGUCAGCAGGUGGACCGAAUGCGGGCUGAGCUGAUGUAUGAGAGGAGGCGGAGUGAGGACCAGCUGGAGGCCUUUGAGGAUGAACGCAGGGUAUGGCAGGAGGAGAAAGACAAGGUGAUUCGUUACCAGAAGCAGCUGCAGCAGAACUACAUCCAGAUGUACCGCAGAAACCGAGACCUAGAACGUGUGAUGAGAGAACUUAGUCUUGAGCUGGAGAACAGGGACAUGGAGGAGUUUGACAUGCGUAGCAAUGAGAUCCAUUUUGAGGAGAUCACUGCCACUGAAAUCUAAGCCACAUCUCACUCUGCCAUCCCAAAAUGAAUUUCCACUGAGGUUGUGUGAGGAGCACUGGCCUUCACUGCAGUAUUUUUGGCAUGCUUCUCCACACUAUUUCAGAAAGACUUAUGUUCAAGGCAAGUUAUUGUUGUGAUGUCCGCAGAGGCCAAUAAAAUAUGUAACAUUUGUAUUUAGACA
Molecule: long non-coding RNA, 2642 nt
Filed under: Sinocyclocheilus anshuiensis
Lineage: Eukaryota; Metazoa; Chordata; Actinopteri; Cypriniformes; Cyprinidae
Description: lncRNA (ENSSANG00000052225.1)
Source: RNAcentral